CAGCAGAUCCCCGGCAUUCACUAAGUUGAAAAAAGCCGUUUCAGCUGUUUGUGAGCAACCUGAAAUCAAUGGUAUGCAGUCAAUAUUUUGGAAUUUUGCUGAGGCCCAUGUUUGAAGAAUGCAGAGGCUGUGAAGUUAGCGUGAAGGAAGGAGACCCCUAUCUCCUGGGGAGCCUACAGCAGGAAUUCUCAGGAAAAACAGCUGAGUUCAAGGUGACAGACCUGCAGUCUUCCCUGCUAAAGUCCUUGAAAAUGACAAAGGAAAAGGACUGUAGCUUCUUGUCACUCAAAGCAUGAUCCAGAUCCCACAGCACGGACGUCACCUUUGAACUUGGUAGAAAUGCAGAAGCUCAGACUCCUGUCCAGACGUAUGACUCAGAACCUGCAUUUUUAACUAGAUCCCAGGUAAGUCAUGGGCAAGUUUAAGGUUGAGAAGCUCUGCUCUAGCACACUGAUUCUUAACCCCUUGGAAUCACUUUUGAAAUAUACUGAUGCCUAGACCCCUGCCCCCUGCCCCCCCAAUUCCGUUUUAAUUGGCUGGAGUACGUUUAAAGCUCCCGAGGUGACACGAUGUGCAGUCAAGGUUGAGAACCAGCCAUCCAGCGUUUGGUCCCUGGGGAGUUAGGCUGCAGGGGUGGAUCGGAGCUAAGCUUCUUCAGCAACUGCCAGGGAGAGUUCUGGUUUGUUUUCUUUCUCUUCAGGCCCAGUGGAAGUACGAAGGGACACGAAGGGGCACAUUCUUCUCUCCCGCCCCCGCCAUUCCCCAGUCCUCAUUCCAGCCAGCAGGACACGUGACAAGGCUCUGUGCAGGCUUCUUGGCCAUGGUUUCUGUUUCUCUUUGUCACAGAUGAGAAAAUUGAGGCAUAGAGACGUUCAACAAUCUUCCCAAGGUCACACAGUCCGUAAGAGGAGCCGGCAUUUGAACCCAGACAAUCGAAAUCCAGAGUUCAAGCUCAUAACCAUUACACUCUUCUUAUAAAUAUGGAAAGCCAAAAAAAAAGUUUCAGAAAAAUUAUGUUUUAAAUUUUUAUUUAUUAUUUUUUAUUGAGGCGUAUCAGAAAAAUUAUUUAAAACAUUUCUAUGCAUGAAGGUCUUCAAAGUUAUUCCCGCCUGAAGUAAUCCUUUAACAUCUGGACAAAUAUCCAAGAGACAGUUGAACAUCCCAGAGGUGCUCAGUAGUUCUUUGGGCCAGGCAAUUUUUUUAGUGCAGGCUCACAGGGAGAGAAGGCUUUUGCUGAAAGCUACGGACAGAUUAUGGAUUGGCCUGGGUGUGAGUGCAGAGGCGCAAGAGGACCUGGUCUGAAAACUCUUCUCCUGUGAGAAGAGAGUCAGUGGGAGAGAAAGCGGACCAGAGGCAAUCAACCAGAGAGAGAGCAGUGAACAACAAUGGGCCAUGUAUCACACAGAAAGAUGCUGCUAAAGACAGCCUUCCCCUGGAAUCAGCAUUCAGCAAAAACUUUAAUUAGCUCAAGGCACUCCCACCCGGUAGUAUGUUCCAGAAUCUUGGUGCGAGGACAUUUGUAAUUUGCAAAAGUAAGUUCAAUAUUACAAGAUAAUUUUAUUUUUGGAAGGCAAACAAACAAAAGGAACCUCUAUUGUUUUAUACCAUAAACUAAAGGAAAUAAAGUUAGAUAAAAUCUUCCUGGCUGUGGGAUGUACAAAUGUUCUG
Molecule: long non-coding RNA, 1668 nt
Organism: Equus caballus (horse)
Lineage: Eukaryota; Metazoa; Chordata; Mammalia; Perissodactyla; Equidae
Source: Ensembl